CUUACUUUAGUUUAAUAAGAAUAGAAGCUUUGGGGGUUUUUGGUCUCCUUGGUUGGAGGAGUUUGG
RNAcentral lists this transfer RNA (66 nucleotides) under Raillietina sp. HL-2022. Its description in RNAcentral is "tRNA-Pro". The record is from RNAcentral. Lineage: Eukaryota; Metazoa; Platyhelminthes; Cestoda; Cyclophyllidea; Davaineidae.